GAUGAACGCUGGCGGCGUGCCUAAUACAUGCAAGUCGAGCGAACGGACGAGGAUCUUGCUUCUCUGAUGUUAGCGGCGGACGUGUGAGUAACACGUGUAUACCCUACCUAUAAUUCUGGUAUAACUUCGGGAAACCGUAUCUAAUACCGUAUAAUAUUUUGAACCGCAUGGUUCAAUAGUGAAAUACGGUCUUUCUGUCAGUUAUCGCUGGAUCCGCGCUGCAUGAGCUAGUUGUUAAGGUAACGGCUUACCAAGGCAACGAUGCAUAGCCGACCUGAGAGGGUGAUAGGCCACACGGGAACUGAGACACGGUCCAGACUCCUACGGGAGGCAGCAGUAGGGAAUCUGCCGCAAUGGGCGAAAGCCUGACGGAGCAACGCCGCGUGAGUGAUGAAGGUCUUCGGAUCGUAAAACUCUGUUAUUAGGGAAGAACAUAUGUGUAAGUAACUGUGCACAUCUUGACGGUACCUAACCAGAAAGCAACGGCUAACUACGUG
Molecule: ribosomal RNA, 497 nt
Filed under: uncultured bacterium
Lineage: Bacteria
Description: partial 16S ribosomal RNA
Rfam family: Bacterial small subunit ribosomal RNA
Source: RNAcentral